This is a long non-coding RNA of Larimichthys crocea (large yellow croaker), 377 nucleotides long. RefSeq lists it as uncharacterized. The record is from RefSeq and is a predicted model, not a curated record. Lineage: Eukaryota; Metazoa; Chordata; Actinopteri; Sciaenidae. The transcript has 2 exons.
AGUGACAGAAAUGACUCGGACUGAUCUUCUUUGAUGGUUGUAAUUCCACACUCCGCCGCUAGGUAGCGGCAGCAAAAACAGACCGGGGUUUGUUUUGUUUUUUUAAACUUCCGUGCGUGACGGAAGCGACGACACAAACGGACCGUGUGUUUACUAACGGCGGUCCCGCUCGGACAGAUAAACUCUGACACCGUGGAGUUUAAUUAGAUUUAAUUAGAAUUAAUUAAUCCACAGAGGAGCAGGUUAUCGAUGGCGGACCCUGCCGUGUCGUCCGGGCUCGCUGAACGCGGGCGGGCGUUAUAAUGAAGUGCUGAGGUGCUGCAGAGAUGUUGUGGCCUUCAGAUCGUGUCCUCCAGAUGUAAGAAAACAUGUGACAC